Non-coding RNA from Myotis brandtii (Brandt's bat), 75 nucleotides. NCBI's taxonomy places the organism in Eukaryota, Metazoa, Chordata, Mammalia, Chiroptera, Vespertilionidae. The record is from Rfam.
GGCAGUUCUCGGGUUACACACCCUGGAAUCGGGCUCUCUCCUCUCUGGUUCUGGGUGUGUCACCAGAGAAUCACA